RNAcentral lists this ribosomal RNA (479 nucleotides) under uncultured bacterium. RNAcentral describes it as "bacterial SSU rRNA". It matches the Rfam family "Bacterial small subunit ribosomal RNA", at positions 28 to 505 of the family's 1533-position model. The record is from RNAcentral.
GAUGAACGCUGGCGGCGUGCCUAACACAUGCAAGUCGAACGGAGUUGUCACCAUGAAGUUUUCGGAUGGAAUGGAGGCAACUUAGUGGCGGACGGGUGAGUAACGCGUGGGUAACCUGCCUCAUACUGGGGGAUAACAGCUGGAAACGGCUGCUAAAACCGCAUAAGAUCGCAUCACCGCAUGGUGAGGCGGUUAAAUAUCGAAAGAUAGGUAUGAGAUGGGCCCGCGUCUGAUUAGCUAGUUGGUGAGAUAAGAGCCCACCAAGGCGACGAUCAGUAGCCGGCUUGAGAGAGUGACCGGCCACAUUGGGACUGAGACACGGCCCAAACUCCUACGGGAGGCAGCAGUGGGGAAUAUUGCACAAUGGGGGAAACCCUGAUGCAGCGACGCCGCGUGAGUGAAGAAGUGCUUCGGCAUGUAAAGCUCUAUCAGCAGGGAAGAAGAUGACGGUACCUGACUAAGAAGCCCCGGUAACUACG